CGCCACAGGAUUCUGGUAGGUUUACUGGUAAGUUUGCUCUCUGGACGUUGUUUAUUCGUUGAAGUUCGUCCCCGCCCAGGCCAAAGGGGCAGAGGUUCCAAGGUUCACCAGCUAACCAAGUUACUAUAUAUAUAUAUAUAUAUAUAUGUAUAUAUUGUGUAUGGGUGUUCAGUACUAGUAUGUUAGUAUUGUUUAUGCACCAGAUAAUAGCACAGUUGGAGAUAGCCAGCGUUUCCUUGGUUCUCGAUAUCCUCCCACGCACAUUGACAGGCCAUGUACGGAAUCUAUCAACUCCCGCGACUUCAACAGGAGAAUACAGGCACACGGAGAUAUAGAGUUCCUACCGUUUUCUUCCAGCCCUGGAACCUGGAACCAACUUGACAAAUCUUCAGGGCGUUUCAAAACGGUUCGCCCCACCUCAAAGCAGCCGCAAGUUCCUAUAUAUUCGACCGCGUGGAAUGGUUUAGCAUACACGACAAGAUGUCGCAUUCCGAUAUGUCUGACAUGUGGCCUCAAAUCCUUCCUGCAUUCCCUUUCGGAUAGCCUGUUCUCGUCUCGGCGGAUAAUCCUGCACAUCCAGCUCCUUCCCCGAGAUGAGCAAACGAAACCUUCUGGAUAGACGUCCAACGAAACAACGAACCAAUCAAUCUGCCAAUGAAACCAUUGAACGAAAUCCGACGGCCCCGCCAUCGUAUAUCUAAAGCAUAUAGAUAUAUGAAGCAAGAUGCUGACGCGCGUUCAAUCAAACCAGUGAGCGAACUGGACCAAACUUCAUCCAACCGGACAGCGCAAAGCGGGAUAGUUACGUGGGCACUCGCGGCUUCCACAGCUUUGGACAAUCAGAUGACCCCGUAUGAGAACUCGUUGUGUAUUUUGACCUGGAUCAGAUUGUCGCCCUUGUGGAAUUUCCUGUAACCCCAACAGCGAGUCAGUCCAGCUGAUGGUGAUGGUGGUUCGCUAUUGUGUCUUAGUUUUUAUUUUUCUUUAUCAUCAUCGUUGGUUUUCCAUAUGGGAGGGAGCAGGAUUUAACUGUUCGACUAAACUAUCUGCCAAUUUAGGUGCAUACACUUUAAUUUUCAAUAUCCAAUAACCUGCAGCUCAACCAGGCGCCUCGUCGCAACGGGAAAUGCUGAUGUGGCAAACGACUGUGGAUUGCACAGCCUCAUGGGCGCAACUCACAGGAUUGAAUCAUGGACGAUGACGACAUGCGAGAUGUGAGAUGCGGGAUUUCCAAGGGAGAACACAUCGCUAGAUCAAAAAUCCCGGAUUAUCAUCACAUCCAAUUUCAUCAAUAUCCAAAUUGAGGGGAUGACAACAUAUAGCUGAGAAAAGAACAUGCGGUGCUAUUAUAAAUGCGAACUCAAAUAGCCAGUAUCCGCAUCACAGCGUAAGAAGGAUUUUGCCCCUCGAAUGCCCCUUAUCCAGGUGCUCAAACGCCUGUUUAUACUCCUCCAGCUUCCAAACACUGUCCACAACAGCCUUCACCUUUCCCUCAUCAAACAGCCUCCCAACAUGCAACAAAUCAUCCCCCCUUGGCUCCAUAAUGAAAAACUCAUUUCGGACAUCCUCCACCAUGCACCCUUCCGGCUUCCGCCCUUCCGGUGGCUCACAAAUAGACAAAAGCACCCCGCCGUCCUUCACAGCACUCCAGCAUUGCCCUAGCGACUCGCCGCCUUUACAAUCAACCACCAAAUCCACCUUCCCGCCGGGCCCUAACCUCCCCGCCCACUCCCCCACACUCGAUUUCGUAUAGUCAAUAACCUCCGUCGCCCCCAACUCCCUCACAAAAUCCACAUUCCCGGACCCACAAACAGCCACAAUCUCACCCACCCCGGCCUCCCUCGCCAACUGCAACAGCCAAACCCCAACUCCGCCCGACGCAGCCGUCACCAGCACCUUCUUCCCCCGAUUCCGCUCCCUCCCCGUCUCCCCUUCCCCAGCCCCGCUAACCCCCCGCGUAUAAACAGCGCCUGCACCGCCGUCUCCGCACUCAACGGCACGCUCGCCGCCGAUAUCGCAUCGACGUUCGCCGGCCGCCGCGCGAGCUCCUCCGUCGGCGCAAUGGUGUACUCGCGCGCGUUGCCGGGUCGCUUGACGUUCGUGCGGCCCCAGACGGGCGUGCCGGGCGGGAACGGCGAGUUGGCCGGCGCUUGGACGACGGUGCCGGACAGGUCGUAGCAGGGGACGAUCUCGGCGGAAAACAGGUGCGGGUUCCAGGCGGGCCAGGUCAGUUCGCCGGCGCAGGGGGAGGUGGCGUGCACGCGGAUCAGGUGUUCGGUUGAGGAGGAGCGGUCGAGGGCGGGUGGGGCUGUGGUUCUUAGGGUUAUUUCAGGCUUGAGGGGAUCGGGUUGGUGGAGGGAGCGGAUUGAGGGGGGCAGAGGCGUGUUGGGGUCCAUUUUUCCUUUGUGGGGAAGGGGGGGGGAGGGAAUCUGGUUUUGUUCUUGAUGGGUUUAAAGGGAGCCUUGUAGCCUUGUAGGUUGGAGACAAUGCAGGUAAGGAAGGGGUGAUUGAUUUGUUGUACAGAAGCCAAGGAUGUAAAAAGAGAGAAUUUCCCCUCAAUUGUGGUUGCGGUUGGUUUGAGGUAAAGCCGCUUUUGCCAGUUUCUAUGUACUAACACGGAGGCUCAGCUCGGCUAUAUAACAACAAUAAUGAAUAAGAAUAAGAAUACUAAAGAGAGGUUGUCAUGAGAAUCGUCAAUCUUCUACUCCGUACUAACAACAAUAAAGUCCUGUACUGCGUUACAUGCCUGGCGCGCAAUCGCGUUUAAAUACCCCGCCCGCAUAACCACCUUCAUCCGACACUGCCGCCCGUCGGAGGUCCGUAACCUCCGUCAAACGCGGUCCACUCGAAUCUCCGUGCAUCAUUAAAAUUCUGAAUACGAGAUUUUUGCUUCGGUUUGCUUAUUACUAAUUCGUAUGAUAAUUAUUCUUCGCCACCCACCGCAUUCCAUCGAGCAGCAGGCAUUGUCAAGUCUAAGCUCUGUGAACACGAGAUCUCCGGCUAGAUCUGUCACGACUCUCUGGAUCUUCCCUUCUUCUGGAUGGAGAAAGCGUUCUCUUCCCGGCGGAACGACCCAUUCUUGUGACGUUAGCAGAGGCAAUCUCAUCAGCUGAUGUCUCGGAAUCGCGUGUUGCAUGGGCAGAAUGAGAGACCAAACUCUGACUUGACGUUUCGAAGGACAUGUCCACGCGAAUAUCAGCGACAGUGCCAUUGGCGUUUGCAAUACCAUAAUCUCGCUGUUCCUUUGCCCAGUCUCGAGCAUUUCUGAAAGCACUGGCUCCUUGCCGGAAGGUCUCUGCAGUAUCAGUCAAGGAAAAGGACCUGAGCUGAGUCAUGUGAUAAUCUGUAUCUCUCCCUGGGUCGUUGGAUGCCGUUGGAUGAGUCGUGAACAGUUUGAGAGUCCCGUCCUGGUAAGUCGAGGUAACGACAUAGGCAUUACCAUCAUAUGCAAGCUCCUUCCCAUAUGCUUGGAGUCGAAGCAUCGCACGAGCGCCAAGGGUGCCGUCAUAGAGCGCUUGUCUUUUGGCAACGGCAGUAGAGCCAUCGGGACCUUUGGCCUCAGCAAAAAAGUUGGGCAAUAUUGGAGCAUUAUGCUGUGUAGACGGUACAAUAUAACUGUUCAGCUCGCUACGGACUCGACGGUCAAGUUGUGCUGCAUGAGCGCCAUCAUAGAAGUCUGGCAUCGCAUUCACAAUCCCAUCAGCAAAUCGCUCCAGAUUGCCGAAUAACUUAUCCUCCUCAUAAGGGAUAUCAGCAUCCCCGCGGAUAAUAGGAAACACAGAGCUCAUCACUUUCUUCUCUCCUAAGGCAUGUGCGUUAGUGCGCUUAAAAUUUCGAAAGUCGGUCUCGGAAAAGCGCGAAGGCGACAGUGAUGGCCUUGGUCGCGCAAGUCUCUGGAUAAUUUCAUCCAAAUUGCUUGGUAGCGGGAAACGAUCAUCAGGGUAAUCGUAUUCCUCCGGAUAUGCCCCGUGAUCUAUGAGGACCUGUUCGAAAUUGGCAUCAUAAGCAGAAGACUUCCUUUCUGUAGUAGUAGAAGUUCUCUGCGUUGAUUGGCGUAUUGCAUUAAAACGCGACCGAUUGGGCAAAUUCGAUCUCGAUCUACGGCUGGAUGAACGGGAUCGGCUGGAGGUCAUAUUUGGAGCCACUUGAUACAAAUAUGGUUCAGGAUACUGAGAAAGGGGUGAGCUAGGGUUCAAUAUUCAGUUGGUAUAGACUUACGCCUCUUAGAUUGCGGAGAUCGGGGCCUCCGUGUCUUGCAAAGCGCUUUAAUCGACACCAGUCUUCGUUGAUGUCCAGGCUCCCCUCUAGUUGAUAGUGCUCGCGGGGAGCAGCAGGUGGUGUAUGUCCUGCUGUUCUCCGGUCCAAUUCCUUCAAGGCACGUCGAGUAAGCCACACCUUUGAAAGACGAUCCCAAGAACAACCAGGGGGAUUUGAUGAUAGGACUCUAGGCUGUUUGGCACGAUGCUGCCCCACAGGUGUUGGGGGAUCAGAUAAACAAUUUUCCGCGCACCUCUGUCUUUUUUGACUGCGAGUUACUGAGUUUUGGACCGCAUGCAUCGAGCCAAAAGGCUUGGGGUCCGAAAAUAUCGGUAGAGCUGGGGAAGAAGGCAUGAUAGAAGGGAGAGAGGGGCAGCCUUGUUAUGAAGGUCGUCCUGCAGGUCUGCGGUGACCGAGUCAUACUUGCCAUCCAAUUACAGACAUGGCAGGGGAGGGAGAUGGUGAUGGGUGCAGUUGAUACCAGGCGCUUCAGGGUUCUGCUGUAACGGUAGUUUCAGUAAAUGUCAAUAAACCUUCCAAAAAGCCAGCAAAGUUAUAUAAAGGGUGGAAAAAUAGUUAACUGAAGA
This 4844-nucleotide small RNA is filed under the name Histoplasma capsulatum. RNAcentral describes it as "hypothetical RNA". Lineage: Eukaryota; Fungi; Ascomycota; Eurotiomycetes; Onygenales; Ajellomycetaceae. The record is from RNAcentral.